This 74-nucleotide transfer RNA is filed under the name Thermoprotei archaeon. Its description in RNAcentral is "tRNA-Thr". It matches the Rfam family "tRNA". Rfam says of the family: Transfer RNA (tRNA) molecules are approximately 80 nucleotides in length. Their secondary structure includes four short double-helical elements and three loops (D, anti-codon, and T loops). Further hydrogen bonds mediate the characteristic L-shaped molecular structure. tRNAs have two regions of fundamental functional importance: the anti-codon, which is responsible for specific mRNA codon recognition, and the 3' end, to which the tRNAs corresponding amino acid is attached (by aminoacyl-tRNA synthetases). tRNAs cope with the degeneracy of the genetic code in two manners: having more than one tRNA (with a specific anti-codon) for a particular amino acid; and 'wobble' base-pairing, i.e. permitting non-standard base-pairing at the 3rd anti-codon position. Lineage: Archaea; Thermoproteati; Thermoproteota; Thermoprotei. The record is from RNAcentral. RNAcentral also lists the same sequence under 1 other name.
GCCCCGGUAGCUCAGCCUGGCGGAGCGCCUCACUGGUAAUGAGGAGGACCCGGGUUCGAAUCCCGGCCGGGGCU